AGCAAAAUUAGGUAGUUGUAGUAAUAGUUAUAAUAAAUUGAAUAAUAAUUUUAUUUAGAUUAUACUUCUCUUACUAGGGGCUCUAUGAUGUAGAUAAGGUCUCUGUACCUUUUGCAUAAUGGUUAUACUAAACUUCAAGCUUAUGGGCUUAUUCUCGAUAUGGGGGGAUCUAACUAGAUUAAUCUGUUAGAAUAAGUAUUCUCCUUGUGUCAAUAAGGCUUAUUUAAAAGUAGUUAGGGGUGAAAGGCUUAUCAACUCUCAGGAUAUCUGGAUGACUAAACAAAUAUAUUAAGUAUAUAAGACAGAAGGCAAGUAAUAUGGCUUGCCUUUAAUUAAAUAGGUAUAUUAAUAACUUUAUUACUUAGGUAAAACCUUAUUAUUUGACUAGCACAUCACCUAAAAUAAGUGUAUUAAAUUAUUAAUAUUUUAUUAGUCCACUUUUAAUAACCAAAAAUAAAGUUAGAUUAUGUAUAAAUUAGUAGAUUAGUGAUUAAUUUUACAGAAGGAACUCGGCAAAAUAUAUAUAUUUCCGUCUGUUUAUCAAAAACAUAGCCUGAAGAGACGAGAUUUUAGGUGAGCCCUGCCUAGCGACACUAAGUCUAGCGGCCGCAGUACCUUGACUGUGCUAAGGUAGCGUAAUAAUUUGUCCUUCAAUUAAGGUCUUGAAUGAACGGGUCUACGAGAAAUAUUCUGUCUCCUGUAUAAAUUCUGUAGAAGUUGCUAAAAAGGUGAAAAUUCCUUUAGUAAAAGAAAAUAGACGAGAAGACCCUUAGAAUUUUGAUAAAGAUUAUUAACCAAGUGAUAGUUUAGUUUUCGUUGGGGCGACGAGGUAGCAGAACCAGAGAACCUACCUAUUAAAAUUAGAUGCACCGAAUUUUAUUAAAUAUAGCUAAAAUUACCUAAGGGAUAACAGCAUAAUACUUGAUAGUGUUUGUGACCUCGAUGUUGGACUAGGGACUGAUUGGUUAACCACCAGGAUAGAUGAUUCUGUUCGAAUCCCACACCCU
Molecule: ribosomal RNA, 1007 nt
Filed under: Rumina decollata
Lineage: Eukaryota; Metazoa; Mollusca; Gastropoda; Stylommatophora; Subulinidae
Description: large subunit ribosomal RNA
Rfam family: Bacterial large subunit ribosomal RNA (bases 490-707)
Source: RNAcentral